This 369-nucleotide ribosomal RNA is filed under the name uncultured bacterium. RNAcentral's name for it is "bacterial SSU rRNA". It matches the Rfam family "Bacterial small subunit ribosomal RNA", at positions 527 to 898 of the family's 1533-position model. The record is from RNAcentral.
GGAGGGUGCAAGCGUUAUCCGGAUUCACUGGGUUUAAAGGGUGCGUAGGUGGGUUGGUAAGUCAGUGGUGAAAUCCCCGAGCUUAACUUGGGAACUGCCAUUGAUACUAUCAGUCUUGAAUACCGUGGAGGUCAGCGGAAUAUGUCAUGUAGCGGUGAAAUGCUUAGAUAUGACAUAGAACACCAAUUGCGAAGGCAGCUGGCUACACGAAUAUUGACACUGAGGCACGAAAGCGUGGGGAUCAAACAGGAUUAGAUACCCUGGUAGUCCACGCCCUAAACUAUGGAUACUCGACAUACGCGAUACACUGUGUGUGUCUGAGCGAAAGCAUUAAGUAUCCCACCUGGGAAGUACGACCGCAAGGUUGAA